This 418-nucleotide ribosomal RNA is filed under the name uncultured bacterium. RNAcentral describes it as "partial 16S ribosomal RNA". It matches the Rfam family "Bacterial small subunit ribosomal RNA", at positions 360 to 775 of the family's 1533-position model. The record is from RNAcentral.
AAUGUGGGACAAUGGGUGAAAGCCUGAUCCAGCCAUCCCGCGUGAAGGAUGACGGUACUCCGGAUUGUAAACUUGUUUUGUACGGGAAUAAACCUGCUCUCGUGAGAGUACCUGAAUGUACUGUACUAAUAAACACCGGUUAAAUCCGUUCCCGCAGCCGCGGUAACACGGAGGGUGCAAGCGUUAUCCGGAUUUAUUGGGUUUAAAGGGUCCGUAGGCGGACCCGUAAUUCAGUGGUAAGACCUCAUAGCUUAACUAUGAAACUGCCAUUGAUACUGCGGGUCUUGAGUAAACUUGAAGUGGCUGGAAUAAGUAGUGUAGCGGUGAGAUGAAUAGAUAUUGCUUAGAACACCAAUUGCGAAGGCAGGUCACUAAGAUUUAACUGACGCUGAUGGACGAAAGCAUGGGUAGCGAACAG